AAAGGCUAUACGUAAAGGAGUAGGGGGCAGCUAUCUGGGCUAUUUAAAAGGGAAAGUCUUCUUGCGUGGAAAGGGACAGUGCGGGCCACUAUUACUAGUAAGGUUGCAAAGACAGCUAUCUUCUCCUUGCUUGCACCCUGGGGUUCCCCCCAAAAACACCAUUCCCACUAGCUACGAGGAAGAGCUACCUAGUAUCUUACAAAAGAAGUUGUGGACUCAGAUAUGAUGCUCGUACUUAUAUUUUGAUUUCCCUCGGGAAGAGACCCCUUCUUGGCCCAGAUAUCCUUUUCCCAGUUUCUCACUUUUUUCUCGAUUGCCAAGCCCAAGGUUAGGGAAAGGGAGAACGUCUCGUAUAUAUACGAUAGGUUGGAAUAUUUUUUAUGUACUAUGCUGCCUUUGGCCCUGCGCUUGGUCUUUCUUCGAAAUUGCCUUGGCCUUUCACC
RNAcentral lists this long non-coding RNA (443 nucleotides) under Coffea arabica (coffee). Its description in RNAcentral is "long non-coding RNA (CARA_LNC007448)". The record is from RNAcentral. Lineage: Eukaryota; Viridiplantae; Streptophyta; Magnoliopsida; Gentianales; Rubiaceae.